This 253-nucleotide unclassified non-coding RNA is filed under the name uncultured Bacteroidota bacterium. Its description in RNAcentral is "uncultured Bacteroidetes bacterium contains 16S-23S intergenic spacer region". It matches the Rfam family "Bacterial small subunit ribosomal RNA", at positions 524 to 776 of the family's 1533-position model. Lineage: Bacteria; Pseudomonadati; Bacteroidota. The record is from RNAcentral.
GACGGAGGGUCCAAGCGUUGUCCGGAAUCACUGGGUGUAAAGGGUGUGUAGGCGGACUUGUAAGUCAGAGGUGAAAGCCCACGGCUCAACCGUGGAAUUGCCUCUGAUACUGCAAGUCUUGAGUCCCGGAGAGGUCGCCGGAAUUCGUGGUGUAGCGGUGAAAUGCGUAGAUAUCACGAGGAACACCAGUUGCGUAGGCUGGUGGCUGGACGGGAACUGACGCUGAGGCACGAAAGCGUGGGGAGCGAACAGG